RNAcentral lists this long non-coding RNA (7838 nucleotides) under Lactuca sativa (garden lettuce). RNAcentral's name for it is "long non-coding RNA (LSAT_LNC003600)". Lineage: Eukaryota; Viridiplantae; Streptophyta; Magnoliopsida; Asterales; Asteraceae. The record is from RNAcentral.
AUAACGAAAAAGUUAUGUCUAAUCGAAAAUCCGCAACAAAACCGGCAAAACGUUGUUCAGUGUAAAAACUGAAUUUUUAAUAAAAAGGAUUUUUAGCCUUAACAAUCUAAAUGAAAGUCGUAGUUUAUGUUAAAUCGAGAACUUUCAUAAAAAGAACGUCAAAAUCUGACUUCGUAUGAGGAAGUUAUGAUUUUUCUAAAUUUCAGUAUAGCAGUGUACAGCUAAAAACUCGAAAUUAAGAUUGAGCGGUUUAUAGCCGACACAACCUAAAUGAGAAUUGAAGGUCUCGUUAUUAGUAGUACAACGGUAAAAAGACAAACAAAAACGGACGUCGGAUGAAUAAGUUAUGAAUUUCUAACAGAUUUCCUGUCCGGGUCUGUUUAAAAUAAUAAUAUUAAAAAUAAAGUCAAAAUUAGCCGACGAAGUCUAAACGAAAGUCGUAGAGUAUAAUUUUAUCUACGCAUACAUAUAAUGAACAUCAAAAACGGAGUUCGUAUGCAAAAGUUAUGAAAUUUACAAGUUUUUGGCACAAAAAUAAAGAAAAAUAGAAAAAAAACCGGGAAAAUUCGCAUGAACAGUAACCGCCACGUCACCCUCGCAUGCGAGCCUCCAUGUGGCAUCUUCUGAUUGGACCGCAACCUCGUGUGUCACCUCCUGAUUGGAACGCAGCCGAGGUCCACUUACAACCGGACAGCCUCGAAUGAGACACACCGGAGACACCCCUCGGACACCCCCUUCGCACGUGCCCUCUUCCCAUUGGACCGAGGUCUGGUCCAAUCCGAUCCUACAACCUCCGAACCGAAGUUGCUUCCCUUCGCAUGCUGUCAGCCUCGCAUAGCCUCGCAUAAGCCUCGGAUCCGAGGCUUUGGCCUAUAUAAGGCAUGCGAGGGUUCCAACUAUUUUACACUUUUUCACCCUAAAUUUCACCCGCUUUCAUAUUUUCCACUUCCACAAGCUCAUAUACAACCCCUAAAACCCCGGUAUCAAGACUCAAGCCUGAAGCAAGCCUCAAAGCCUCGAAAUUCCCAAGAAGUAACCUCUCUCCUGUCAAAACUCUGCCCGAUUUGAGCCGGUUUGUCGACAAAUAAACUCCUUUUCGUGAAACGAAACUUUGUACGAUUCACCAUCUAUCAAGUGAGUUCAUAACCCCGUAUUUUCAUAAUUUCUACUAUGUUAAGGGGGGGAAAUACAAGUAUAACACAAGAACUUUAUGUUAUAAAUAAAUGAUUUCAAAUCACGAUAAAACUAUUUUAAAGCAUCAAAAAUACUCCAAAUAUUAAACUCUUUUAUAAACUUAUAUUUUUCCCAANUUCUUGUUUGGAUGUGGACUUAUCGUAUCGGUUAUUUGUCCGAAGGUCGUUUAAAUUUUACUUAUAUAUAAAAUUGUAUAUGUAUAUAAAUAUAACAAUUAUUUCAUCGGUUUAAUUACCCUUUGUAACAUGAUGAGCAAAGGAUUACAUGCAAAAAUAGUUAUUUACUAAUUCAUAAAUUACAUAUAAAUUAUAAUAGAUAUAAUUUAUGAUACAUAGAACGAUUAUUCAUGAUUCAAGUAUACUAGAAUACACUGUUUUACAUAAAAUAAGGGUUGUGAUUCAAAAUAAAACAAGGGUUUACACUUGUCAAAUACAUGUUUGGAAUACUAAUUCAAGAGCAUACUAUCAAUCAUUUAUUUCAGAAUGAUUGAGUUUUCAUAUCUAAUAUACAUGUAACGUUUAUACGCUUUUUAUGAGACAUUCAAUUCAGGUUGUUUAAUUAAAUUUAGAUAACCAAGGUAAAGUCCUGACAUUAUAACCAGAAUCUCCAGCCCGGGUAUCAAAACAAGUUGUGUGUAGAUCUAUAUCGGGAUUGACAACCCCGCACUCAGGCUGCUAGCUAUAGUCAAUCAUACACGCCAAUGAGUGGCAAUUAUUAUCAACAAAUUAAACGCUCACAAGGUGUUUGUUUCAGGCGUUCAUGUCUUAGUAUGGUUAUAUUAACUCAUUAAAAAGAUAUUAACAACACGUUAGUGUAUAAACAACUAAACGUAAGUACAUCUUCAAAGUAACAGUUUACAAAAUACAAAGUACAAUGGUAUACUACAGUUUUCAAUAACGAAUGGUGAAGCCAGGCACACUCUCAGUUACAAGUUUUAAAAAUAGGACGGUUUUAUGGGAAUCAAACUACUUUUCACAUACCAUAGAAAAUAUGGGAUUUUUUUAGAAUAGUUUUCAUAUUCAAAAUACAAAGACACCCAUUCAAACAUAAAGACUCAUGUACUCACUCAACUUAUUGUUGAUACUCUCUUUUCAAAUUACUUGUAUUCUCAGGGAAAUAAUAACAUGUACUCCCCGAGCUUUUUGAGAAGAUGGAGCCAUUAUGAGUCAUAUCUUCUUCUUUUGUAUAACUAUUUUGGUUUCAAUAUACAAUGAUUGAACACAUGUAAAUAUUUUACUUUUAAAUACAAUGGUUGUUUGUACUUUGAUUACUAUGAUGCAUGUGUUGUGAUACUACAAAUGAAGUCCUCCACCCCCGGACGUUUCCACCGUAUGGUUUGGGGGUGUGACAGAUUGGUAUUAGAGCAUUGUUUAUAGUUAACUCAGUAUAUCAAUCCAAAAAAGAUAUACAAACUAUAAAUACAUUGGCACUAAGAGCUCUGACUACAAGUAUUUUUUUUAGAAUUCUAAGUAUUUUUACCCGAAGUAUACCAACCCUCAUACCUACAAGUACAUAGUCAUAAGAACUUAAAAGUAUUUGGAUUUUGAACAUUACAGUCAAACCCGGGCAGUUAUGUAAUCAUAUCUAGAAUUAAUAUAGCCUGAUCAACUAUAUUGAUUUCAUAUAUGACCAACAUGUGUUUGGGAGUGAUAGUAGUGUUGUGACAUGUCUAAAACUUACCAACUAUAGAAGAAAGUCUAGAACAGAACAUAAAAUACUAUAAGAAUAUUUUAAACAUCGAUAUGCUUUAGUUUUUUAGGCAUUUCUCAUAACCUUAUUCUCGUACAGACACAAUGGCAGGACAUCAUCUACCAGGGGACCCUUAUUUUCCAAAUCAUGGCAAUGAAGGAUGGAUAGUGGAGGAUCCGGAGGAGGAUCCAGAAGAAGACUCGGACGAAGAACCCUUUGAGGACAGCGAGUCAAGUGGUACAGAUAUAGAGCCACAAGUCUGCAACCCAGGGUUACGUCCCCUAAGGCAAGUGGAAGCAAUCCCUAUACCUGAUUGGGGCCAAUACAUAAACUAUUGGAGUCGACAAGAUGCAAGAUGAUACCCAACACCAUACUGAAGCCCUUCAAAGGAAACUUAAUGCUGUUGAAUUAGAGAUCAGAGAACUAAGGGAGCAUCAAGCUGCCCAAGAAAGGGGCUGGAAAUCGCAAGACGAAGUGGAACCCAGUAACUGUCGUAGCAACCGCCGCAAGUAGUGUUUACACUACUUUUCUAGUUUAAUAUACUUAAUGUAUAGACUACUUUCAAGAUAUGUACAAAAUCAAGUAUCAAUAAAAUAAUAAGCGCUUUACUUCAACAAGAGUUAUUACAAUUUUCACAAAUAUUCCAUUCCAAAGUUUUGGGAUUAUGGAUAUGUUCCAGUGUUAUUUUUCAUACUUUUCAAUACGACCGCGAAAAUUUUUAUUUUCGGUAGGUCGGUUUGAUGUCGAUACUUUCACAAUAUUGUGGUAUAUUAUAAGACCUGCUUGAAGGUCAAAUAUACAUAUUACAUAGAUACCAACACAAUCGACAUGUAUUUUUAUACUCUUUUAAAAAUAACCACUCCAUUUUAUAUUAUCCUAUUGCAAGUUUUACUUGCAGUGGACAUCUAUUUCCAAUUCUUUACAAGCUUCUUAUGAAUUAAGUGUUUAAGUUCAGAGAUAUCAAAUUCAUAUUCAUUCUUAAUAUCUCACUAUAUUUUUAUUGACUUUUUUAGAAAAAGAUGCCUCCUCGUAGAAAUCCAAGACGUAACAAUGAAACUGAAGCACCGACGCCACCUCCACCACCACCUCCUCAAUUCGAUGCUGAUAUGUUCCAAGCAGCAGUCACGGCAGCUGUAGCGGCUGCUUUAUUUCAUAUCAAUGCUCCUGGUACUAGUGGGUCGGGAGCUGGUGCACAUCCAUCUACGCAUGUUGAGGGUCAUGAGCACUCGCGAGAGUGCACUUAUAAAGACAUCUCGAAUGCCAAACCAAGGACCUUUAAUGGAACUGAAGGAGAGAUGGUUUUAAGGCAGUGGAUCGAGAAGACAGAAGCAAUCUUUGAAAUUUGCUCCUGUCCAGAGGGUAGCAAAGUUAAAUUUCCUGCCUACACUUUCUCAGAUAGGGCUCUAACAUGGUGGAAUGGCCAUGUUAAAUCACUGACUUUGAUAGUGGCUAAUAAUAUAAGCUGGGAGAACCUAGAAACCAUGCUGAUGCGGCAAUACUGCCCGCGAGGGGAAAUUCAGAAACUGGAACAAGAACUACGGGGUCUUACCAUGACCGGUGUAGACAUAACAACUUACACGAAUCGGUUCUGUGACUUGGCGAUUAUGUGUCCAGAAAUGGUUGCUCUAGAGAGCAAAAAUAUUGAAAGGUAUAUUUGGGGAUUGUCGCCCCCGAUACAGGAAAGUGUCAUUGCAUCUAGGCAUGUUACCUUUGACAGUGCCAAGGAACUGGCACAGUCACUUAUUGACCACGGAAAUCGUCAAAACUCUGUGGUUACUGCCCCAGAACAACCUAGGGAGAACAACAACAACAACAACAACAAGAAGGGUUGGAACAAAAGGAAGGGCAAAUAUCCUUUGGAACCUUCAAAGAAGCAACAAAUAGUGGUUGUCCGUGCUACUACUGUACCUGAUACCAAACCUGCUAUUGUGUCACACCCCCAAACCUGAACGGCGGAAACGUUCGGGGGCGGAUGACUUCAUGUGGUAACGUAACAAAUGAAUACAUAGUAAAGAAAGCAAUACAACCAUCAUAUAUAUAAUUGAAAGUUUACAUUUGUCAAAAGUUACAUGUUCAAAACCAAUUACAAUAUGAUGUCAAAAUAUGAGAUUAGACUGGCGCCGCAGCAUCCCUUCUUCAAAAGCAUAUUGAUACCUGAAAUUACUGAAUCCCUAGGACAUACAAGUAAUUUUGAAAGAGUAUAUCAGCAUUUAAGCUGGUGAGUUUCAUAAGUAUUAAAUGAAAAAGGUUUGUAUGAAAUGAAAUGUUUUGUCCUUGUUUGUUGGUUUCUAGAAAAUCCUAUAUUUUCUACUAGUAUAAAAGUAGCCUUCUCUCAAGACCAAUGUUUGUUUCUAAAAGGUAUGUAAGUGUAAAAUAACCAACGUGUUUGAAAACCUCAUAAAUCAAUGUAUUUUUAAUACCCCAUGUGAAUUUUAUAACCAUACUAUUCACUCGGAAUGCCUAUACACAACGUUCUUCAGGCGUUGGAAUGUUAUGACGUUUGUCACCCCAAAUGGUGGACUGUAGCUAACAGUCAAGGCGCGGGUUGUCAAGCCCGUAUAGAUCUAUACACAAACACCAUGUGCCCCCUCCAAGGGAUUCUGGUAUAUAAUAUAGGACUUGAAAUGUGUACUCGAACGUACGUGAAGUUAAUGUCUCACAAACCGUGGUAUAAAACCAGAUUUUCGUGUUAAAAUGUUCGUUUGUGCUUGUAUAUGAAAGUGACUUCUUGAAAAUCGUGUUUCUAGUAUGUAAAAGUUAGCAAUAUCCUCAUAAAACUAUACCUAUUAUAGUUUUCUAAAAGUGUAUCUCGUUUGUUUAGAAAUACCUAGAAAAGAAAUCACUUCUUAUGAAAGUAUAGAUUUUUGUAGGGACUAAGAUAGAUUUUUGUAGGGACUAUUGUAACAUAUUUUAUAUACGAGAGUUCCCUAUAAAGUUUAUAAAUCACAUAUGAUUUGGUUAUAUAAAAGCAUAUAAAAAUUCUUUAUACAACACACGAUGAUACUCGUGUGCUUUACUUGUAUCCCCCCCCUUUGAAAGCAUAUAAAAGCAUUUAUAGAAUAUUUAAAAGGUUAAUUAAGGGGUAUGAACUCACUUGAAAGUUUGAAGAAAGCGAGAUGGAAACCGGGCAGAGUUUCGUCUUGGGAAACGGGUUUUUCUCGGGAUUCUCGGGAAUCUCGGGAGUAAAAAUGACCCUCGGGACUUGAGCAAAAUGAUUGGGGCUUCGGGUUAGAACGGGCACGGAAAACGAGGCAAGAAAGCACAAGAAAGGAGAUAAAUGGAGCCCUUUCCUCGGAACCCUCGCAUCCCUUUUAUAGGGGCUGGAACCGCCUCGGUACGCAGGGUGUACGAGGGUACGCGGGGCGUACGCGUACGUCAUGCAUGACUGAGUCGUCGACUGCCUCAGACUUCGGAUAGGACAAGGCUACUUCGCAUAGACCGGGACGUGGACGAUCCGAGGCCUAGGCCUUGAGUACGCGGGGCGUACGAGGGUACGCAUGGCAUACUUCGGCCUUAUCUGCUGACUCCUCUUCGGAUAUUACCAAGAGUUUAUAAUUAAAUUUAUAUUUAAUUUAAUUAAUAAACUUCUAAAAUUCAUAUCUUCAUACGAAUUCCGUUUUCGAUGGUCUUUAUAUCCACGCGUAGGUGAGACUACGUUCUACAACUUUCGUUUAGACUCCGUCGGCAAAUUUCGAAAUUUUUUUUAUUAUUUAUUUUUAAAUUGUCGUGUUUAAGGAAUUUCUUUAGAAAUUCAUAACUUCUAAAUCUGACGUCGGUUUUUGCCAGACUUUUUACCGCUGAAAUACCAUUGUCGAGACCUUUUAUUCUCAUUUAAGUCAUUCCGGCCAAAAGUCGCUCGAUCUCCGAUUCGAGUUUUUAGCUGUCUGUUGCUAUGCCGAACUUGGAAAAAUCAUAACUUCAACAUACGAAGUCGGAUUUGGGCGUUCUUUUUACGUACGAACACGGUUUAAUGACAUUAAAGAUAGUAGGAAUUUAAAUAGAUACUUUUUGGACAUUUUAUUAUCAAAGUAAAUUUCAUUAACUCAAAGGUGGUUACAAUACUUGACUUUUUAGGUCAUUACAAAGAGUUGAAAUAUCAGGUUGUCACAUAUUGUGCCUGCUGUUGCCCUUAACAACCCAGCACCAACUAAACCCUAUGUUGGUAGACUCCCUAAAUGCAACAAGUGCAAUUUUCACCACACUGGAAAUUGCCCAGAGAUGCAGUGCCGUAACUGUAACAGGAAAGGGCAUACUGCCCGAUUCUGUAGAACACCACCUCAACCACUUAACCAAGUACCAGCCGUCGGAGUAGGUCGAGCAUGCUACCAAUGCGGUGAUGUGGGGAAUUUCAAGAGAGAUUGUCCAAUCGCUGGAAAUGCCGGUGGGGUUGGGAGAAUUCUAGCACUGGGUCACGAAAUAAAGAUCUGGUGGUUUUUAGCCAACACAACCUAAAACGAGAAUUGAAGGUCUCGUCAUUAGUAGUACAACGGUAAAAAGACAAAUAAAAACGGUCGUCAGAUGAAGAAGUUAUGAAAUUUUAACGGAUUUCCUGUCCCGGUCUGUUUAAAAUAAUAAUAUUAAAAAUAAAUUCAAAAGUAGCCGACGAAGUCUAAAUGAAAGUCGUAGAGUAUAAUUUUACCUACGUGUGCAUAUAAAGAACGUCAAAAACGGAUUUCGUAUGCAAAAGUUAUGAAAUUUACAAGUUUUUGGCACAAAAAUAAAGAAAAAUUGAAAAAACUGGGAAAAUUCGCAUGAACAGUAACCGCCACGUCACCCUCGCAUGCGAGCCUCCACGUGGCAUCUUCUGAUUGGACCGCAGCCUCGUGCGUCACCUCCUGAUUGGACCGCAGCCGAGGUCCACUUAGCACCGGACAACCUCGCAUGAGACACACCAGAGACACCCCUCGCAUGCUCCUCGGACACCCCCUUCACACGUGCCCUCUUCCCAUUGGACC